UCCAUUCACUACUGUAAGUCGCUCUGGAUAAGAGCAUCUGCUAAAUGACUCAAA
This is a non-coding RNA of Salmo salar (Atlantic salmon), 54 nucleotides long. NCBI's taxonomy places the organism in Eukaryota, Metazoa, Chordata, Actinopteri, Salmoniformes, Salmonidae. The record is from Rfam.